This 401-nucleotide unclassified non-coding RNA is filed under the name soil metagenome. RNAcentral describes it as "partial contains 5.8S ribosomal RNA, internal transcribed spacer 2, and large subunit ribosomal RNA". The stretch from base 1 to 121 matches the Rfam family "5.8S ribosomal RNA", at positions 35 to 154 of the family's 154-position model. The record is from RNAcentral.
GAUGAAGAACGUAGCGAAAUGCGAUAAGUAAUGUGAAUUGCAGAAUUCAGUGAAUCAUCGAAUCUUUGAACGCACCUUGCGCCCUUUGGCUAUUCCGAAGGGCAUGCCUGUUUGAGUAUCGUGAACACCUCAACUCUCAUGGUUUGCCAUGAUGAGCUUGGACUUGGGGGUUUUGCUGGCCUUCGGUCGGCUCCUCUCAAACGGAUCAGCUUUCCAGUGUUUGGUGGCGUCACGGGUGUGAUAACUAUCUAUGCCUGUGGUUUUCUGCCAGAUAACCUUCAGCGAUGGAGGUUCGCUGGGGCUCAUAAAUGUCUCUCUUCAGUGGAGACAGCUUUUUGGACGUUUGAUCUCAAAUCAGGUAGGACUACCCGCUGAACUUAAGCAUAUCAAUAAGCGGAGGA